RNAcentral lists this ribosomal RNA (468 nucleotides) under uncultured bacterium. RNAcentral describes it as "partial 16S ribosomal RNA". It matches the Rfam family "Bacterial small subunit ribosomal RNA", at positions 28 to 507 of the family's 1533-position model. The record is from RNAcentral.
GACGAACGCUGGCGGCGUGCUUAACACAUGCAAGUCGAACGGAAAGGCCCUGCUUUUGUGGGGUGCUCGAGUGGCGAACGGGUGAGUAACACGUGAGUAACCUGCCCUUGACUUUGGGAUAACUUCAGGAAACUGGGGCUAAUACCGGAUAGGAGCUCCUGCUGCAUGGUGGGGGUUGGAAAGUUUCGGCGGUUGGGGAUGGACUCGCGGCUUAUCAGCUUGUUGGUGGGGUAGUGGCUUACCAAGGCUUUGACGGGUAGCCGGCCUGAGAGGGUGACCGGCGACAUUGGGACUGCGAUACGGCCCAGAAUGCUACGGGAGGCAGCAGUGGGGAGUAUUGCACAAUGGGCGGAAGCCUGAUGCAGCAACGCCGCGUGCGGGAUGACGGCUUUCGGGUUGUAAACAGCUGUGGACUGUGACGAAGCGUGAUUGACGGUAAUGGGUAAAGAAGCACCGGCUAACUACGUG